ACACCUGUAAAAUGAACAUAAUGUCCUUGAACUACAUUUUCCCCAGGUUAUGAAGAUGAAAAUGACACAUGGGACAACAUGGUACGGGAGCCAGAGACCAGUUUAGGAGCCAAGAAUAAGAAAUGGACAGAACACUGCCCUCUUGGAUUCAGAAUACCCUUCGGAGGGCUACUUUUUCCCAUUGCCACUUGUACUGGCAGGCAGGCAUCCCCAGAGAGUGGCUGAGGAGCUGGCGUUUUUUCUUGGGCUUUUGUCUAACUACAAAUCUGUAAUCUCUACUCUCUUAAAAGGUUGCUCUAAGGUUUCCAGGCUUAUUGAGAAAUUCCCCAUCAAGCAGCUGAGUGGUCUACUGUCCCUCCUGUUAAGAUUUUGUUUUUCUAUGAAGGGAUGGAUAAUCUCUCUUAUCCCUGGGGCUUCUCUGGCUAGAAAGCUGCCUUUGGCUUCUCCUUAUGUAGUGCUACUAAAGGUUUCAGGUAUGUUUACCCAUGUUCCUGCUGACUUUUCUGGUGGGAUG
RNAcentral lists this long non-coding RNA (514 nucleotides) under Sarcophilus harrisii (Tasmanian devil). RNAcentral describes it as "lncRNA (ENSSHAG00000025201.1)". Lineage: Eukaryota; Metazoa; Chordata; Mammalia; Dasyuromorphia; Dasyuridae. The record is from RNAcentral.